GACGAACGCUGGCGGCGUGCUUAACACAUGCAAGUCGAACGGUAAGGCCCUUCGGGGUACACGAGUGGCGAACGGGUGAGUAACACGUGGGUGAUCUGCCCUGCACUUCGGGAUAAGCCUGGGAAACUGGGUCUAAUACCGGAUAGGACCACUGCCUGCAUGGGUGGUGGUGGAAAGCUUUUGCGGUGUGGGAUGGGCCCGCGGUCUAUCAGCUUGUUGGUGGGGUGAUGGCCUACCAAGGCGACGACGGGUAGCCGGCCUGAGAGGGUGACCGGCCACACGGGACUGAGAUACGGCCCAGACUCCUACGGGAGGCAGCAGUGGGGAAUAUUGCACAAUGGGCGCAAGCCUGAUGCAGCGACGCCGCGUGAGGGAUGACGGCCUUCGGGUUGUAAACCUCUUUCAGCACCGACGAAGCGCAAGUGACGGUAGGCGCAGAAGAAGGACCGGCCAACUACGUGCCAGCCGCCGCAGUAA
This 477-nucleotide ribosomal RNA is filed under the name uncultured bacterium. RNAcentral's name for it is "partial 16S ribosomal RNA". It matches the Rfam family "Bacterial small subunit ribosomal RNA", at positions 28 to 523 of the family's 1533-position model. The record is from RNAcentral.